RNAcentral lists this unclassified non-coding RNA (236 nucleotides) under plant metagenome. RNAcentral's name for it is "partial contains small subunit ribosomal RNA, internal transcribed spacer 1, and 5.8S ribosomal RNA". The record is from RNAcentral.
UUUCCGUAGGUGAACCUGCGGAAAGAUCAUUACUGAGUGAGGGCCCCUCGGGGUCCAACCUCCCACCCGUGUUUAACGAACCUUGUUGCUUCGGCGGGCCCGCCUCACGGCCGCCGGGGGGCAUCUGCCCCCGGGCCCGCGCCCGCCGAAGCCACCUGUGAACGCUGUCUGAAGUAUGCAGUCUGAGACAAUUAUUAAAUUAAUUAAAACUUUCAACAACGGAUCUCUUGGUUCCG